Molecule: ribosomal RNA, 427 nt
Filed under: uncultured Arenimonas sp.
Lineage: Bacteria; Pseudomonadati; Pseudomonadota; Gammaproteobacteria; Lysobacterales; Lysobacteraceae
Description: bacterial SSU rRNA
Rfam family: Bacterial small subunit ribosomal RNA
Source: RNAcentral
UGGGGAAUAUUGGACAAUGGGGGCAACCCUGAUCCAGCCAUGCCGCGUGUGUGAAGAAGGCCUUCGGGUUGUAAAGCACUUUUGUCCGGAAAGAAAAGCACCUAAUUAAUACCUGGGUGUCAUGACGGUACCGGAAGAAUAAGCACCGGCUAACUUCGUGCCAGCAGCCGCGGUAAUACGAAGGGUGCAAGCGUUACUCGGAAUUACUGGGCGUAAAGCGUGCGUAGGUGGUUCGUUAAGUCUGUCGUGAAAGCCCCGGGCUCAACCUGGGAAUGGCGAUGGAUACUGGCGGGCUAGAGUGCGGUAGAGGAGAGUGGAAUUCCCGGUGUAGCAGUGAAAUGCGUAGAGAUCGGGAGGAACAUCAGUUGCGAAGGCGGCUCUCUGGACCAGCACUGACACUGAGGCACGAAAGCGUGGGGAGCAAACA